This 274-nucleotide ribosomal RNA is filed under the name uncultured bacterium. RNAcentral describes it as "partial 16S ribosomal RNA". It matches the Rfam family "Bacterial small subunit ribosomal RNA", at positions 523 to 796 of the family's 1533-position model. The record is from RNAcentral.
AUACGGAGGGGGUUAGCGUUGUUCGGAAUUACUGGGCGUAAAGCGUACGUAGGCGGACUGAUCAGUUGGGGGUGAAAUCCCAGGGCUUAACCCUGGAACUGCCUUCAAUACUGUCAGUCUUGAGUUUGGGAGAGGUGAGUGGAAUUCCUAGUGUAGAGGUGAAAUUCAUAGAUAUUAGGAGGAACACCAGUGGCGAAGGCGGCUCACUGGCCCAUUACUGACGCUGAGGUACGAAAGCGUGGGGAGCAAACAGGAUUAGAAACCCUAGUAGUCC